Molecule: long non-coding RNA, 857 nt
Filed under: Populus tremula
Lineage: Eukaryota; Viridiplantae; Streptophyta; Magnoliopsida; Malpighiales; Salicaceae
Description: long non-coding RNA (PTRE_LNC002509)
Source: RNAcentral
CGACGAGUUGGUCCUGUCUCUGUGCCGGCUGUCCCAGAAUGUAUUAAAUCCACUAUGUCAUGAAGCCGACGGGUAUACCCUCCCACAGGGCUAGUUGGUCUGGUCUGAGUUAAAUCCACCAUCUCAUCAGGAGGUGCAAUAGGAUUUUGCUCAGCACGCAUUCCCCUGUAUGUCAUAAUCCUAUUCAGAAUGGAAUGGGUCCUAUCAGCAGCUCCACGAGAACCAUUUGAAUCCUGUGGAGGAGAUAAGUCCCGGGGUAAAUCAAAUCUUCUUCCAAGUCGUCUAAUCAUCUCCUCUACUGGGAAGCUGGAAAGAUGCCUUGAAGCAGUUUGCCUCAAACUCUCAACCCGCCGUGCAUGAGGCCUAACAGGGAUCUCCACAUUUGCAUCCUCCCCGGGCUCACGGGUGGUACACCCACGGCCAUAAAUCGGGGUCACAUUCUUCACGGUCACCUCUCCCUUGCAGACUGGGCAUUCUUUUGCAUCGGAAUGCACAUGCAACCAUUGGUAGAGGCAUGGCCAACAAAACAGGUGACCACAGCAAGUAACAACAGGGUCUGUAGCCAAAUCCAAACAAAUAUUGCAAUCAUAGAAGCUCCCGUCAUUACCACUGGCCUUCUCAACAUCAUCUUUUUUCUGUGACACCUCAUCUUCCAAAAAUCCAUUGUUAUUUUCGCACAUUUUAGGCACUUCAUUUGUUCUUUCUUCAGCAGCAACACUUCCCUCACCAGCCUGUAAUGUGCCCACAUGGCCAGAAUUAGCCAUCAGUUGAUUCAAUUCCACCGAAAGGCUUUGAGUUUGUUGUGGAACUUGAAAUUGUCUCCAUCUCCUGUGCUCUCGAGCCCUAAUUCUGACAGC